RNAcentral lists this transfer RNA (64 nucleotides) under Pacifastacus leniusculus (signal crayfish). Its description in RNAcentral is "tRNA-Asn". Lineage: Eukaryota; Metazoa; Arthropoda; Malacostraca; Decapoda; Astacidae. The record is from RNAcentral.
UUAAUAGAAGCCAAAAAGAGGCCUUCCACUGUUAAUGGAAGAAUUGAAAUUUUUUCCUAUUAAG